UAGGGAAUCUUCGGCAAUGGACGGAAGUUUGACCGAGCAACGCCACGUGAGUGAAGAAGGUUUUCGGAUCGUAAAGCUCUGUUGUAAGAGAAGAACGAGUGUGAGAGUGGAAAGUUCACACUGUGACGGUAACUUACCAGAAAGGGACGGCUAACUACGUGCCAGCAGCCGCGGUAAUACGUAGGUCCCGAGCGUUAUCCGGAUUUAUUGGGCGUAAAGCGAGCGCAGGCGGUUAGAUAAGUCUGAAGUUAAAGGCUGUGGCUUAACCAUAGUACGCUUUGGAAACUGUUUAACUUGAGUGCAGAAGGGGAGAGUGGAAUUCCAUGUGUAGCGGUGAAAUGCGUAGAUAUAUGGAGGAACACCGGUGGCGAAAGCGGCUCUCUGGUCUGUAACUGACGCUGAGGCUCGAAAGCGUGGGGAGCAAACAGGAUUAGAUACCCUGGUAGUCCACGCCGUAAACGAUGAGUGCUAGGUGUUGGGUCCUUUCCGGGACUCAGUGCCGCAGCUAACGCAUUAAGCACUCCGCCUGGGGAGUACGACCGCAGGUUG
Molecule: ribosomal RNA, 549 nt
Filed under: uncultured bacterium
Lineage: Bacteria
Description: bacterial SSU rRNA
Rfam family: Bacterial small subunit ribosomal RNA
Source: RNAcentral